CAGGGAGGAUAAUUACUUAUCCUCCCUCUGUAUGGGGAGGAUAAUUACUUAUCCUCCCUAUUUACAAGGAGGAUAAUUACUUAUCCUCCCUCUUUACAGGGAGGAUAAUUACUUAUCCUCUCUAUU
Small nucleolar RNA from Eurytemora carolleeae, 126 nucleotides. RefSeq annotates it as small nucleolar RNA SNORA69. The record is from RefSeq and is a predicted model, not a curated record. The transcript has a single exon. NCBI's taxonomy places the organism in Eukaryota, Metazoa, Arthropoda, Copepoda, Calanoida, Temoridae.